RNAcentral lists this long non-coding RNA (299 nucleotides) under Ananas comosus (pineapple). RNAcentral describes it as "long non-coding RNA (ACOM_LNC021363)". The record is from RNAcentral. Lineage: Eukaryota; Viridiplantae; Streptophyta; Magnoliopsida; Poales; Bromeliaceae.
UAAGGAAAAAUAAGAAAUAUUGGUGACGGUAGAGAGGAAUAUUUGAAAAGACCAAAAGUCAAAAUACUUUUUGUGCCUCUGACUUUAAGGGCAAAUAAGAAAGUCGGUGAUGGUGUGGAAGGGUAUAUUUGAAAGGGUAAAAUAGUAAUUUUACAGAGUUAACAGAGUUCAUUAACAAAUUUUAACUCUAGGGGUAUAUUAGAAAAAGUUUGGAACGUAAAGAGGGUAUUUUCAAUAUUAGCCUUCUAAGAGGGGUAAAUCGGAAAGUCGAAAACUUCUCAGGGGUAUAUAAGCAAUUG